ACACACUCAAACUCCGUCCGUCUCCCCGCCAUAUCUGCCCCACACCCGAGCAUCGGCCAUCAGUUGACCUCUCGCCAACGGGACUCAAGUCCAGCCACUCCGGCCUGCUGUCCACGACCGGCCCCGGACCAACCUGCGCCAAGAGACAGACUCAUAAUGGCUUCUUUGACUUUCAUGGGCACAACUUUGGUCCUCAUGUUGAUAAACAGCAAUAAAAGUUUCCAAAUGUGAUGGAAAGACUGGAGGAACGACUAGGUGCUGAGAGCUCUCUUAUUCCUGAAUUAAGGAGGCAAUUAAACACACCUGAGCAAUUGCAAACGCCAAGGAAGCCCUGUGUCCCAAACAUUGUGGUCCACUGAAACGGGGUGACUAUGUAAAAACACAGCUGUAAUUUCUAAAUGGCAAAACCAAAAUGUAUUAAAAUGGCCUUUGAUUAAAUCUGACAAUGUGCAC
Leucoraja erinaceus (little skate) is the source of this 453-nucleotide long non-coding RNA. RefSeq lists it as uncharacterized. NCBI's taxonomy places the organism in Eukaryota, Metazoa, Chordata, Chondrichthyes, Rajiformes, Rajidae. The record is from RefSeq and is a predicted model, not a curated record. The transcript is spliced from 2 exons.